This 835-nucleotide ribosomal RNA is filed under the name uncultured bacterium. Its description in RNAcentral is "bacterial SSU rRNA". It matches the Rfam family "Bacterial small subunit ribosomal RNA", at positions 62 to 860 of the family's 1533-position model. The record is from RNAcentral.
UCGAACGAGUUCUCGUUGAUGAUGGGUGCUUGCACCGAGAUUCCCAUGGGAACGAGUGGCGGACGGGUGAGCAACACGUGGGUAACCUGCCCUUAAGUGGGGGAUAACAUUUGGAAACAGAUGCUAAUACCGCAUAGAUCCAAGAACCGCAUGGUUCUUGGCUGAAAGAUGGCGUAAGCUAUCGCUUUUGGAUGGACCCGCGGCGUAUUAGCUAGUUGGUGAGGUAACGGCUCACCAAGGCGAUGAUACGUAGCCGAACUGAGAGGUUGAUCGGCCACAUUGGGACUGAGACACGGCCCAAACUCCUACGGGAGGCAGCAGUAGGGAAUCUUCCACAAUGGACGCAAGUCUGAUGGAGCAACGCCGCGUGAGUGAAGAAGGCUUUCGGGUCGUAAAACUCUGUUGUUGGAGAAGAAUGGUCGGCAGAGUAACUGUUGUCGGCGUGACGGUAUCCAACCAGAAAGCCACGGCUAACUACGUGCCAGCAGCCGCGGUAAUACGUAGGUGGCAAGCGUUAUCCGGAUUUAUUGGGCGUAAAGCGAGCGCAGGCGGUUUUUUAAGUCUGAUGUGAAAGCCCUCGGCUUAACCGAGGAAGCGCAUCGGAAACUGGGAAACUUGAGUGCAGAAGAGGACAGUGGAACUCCAUGUGUAGCGGUGAAAUGCGUAGAUAUAUGGAAGAACACCAGUGGCGAAGGCGGCUGUCUGGUCUGUAACUGACGCUGAGGCUCGAAAGCAUGGGUAGCGAACAGGAUUAGAUACCCUGGUAGUCCAUGCCGUAAACGAUGAAUGCUAGGUGUUGGAGGGUUUCCGCCCUUCAGUGCCGCAGCUAACGCAU